This 117-nucleotide ribosomal RNA is filed under the name Candidatus Poribacteria bacterium. The record is from RNAcentral. Lineage: Bacteria; Candidatus Poribacteria.
UCCGGUGACUAUAGCGGCGGGGAAACGCCCGUUCCCAUCCCGAACACGGAAGCUAAGCCCGCCAGCGCCGAUGAUACUGCGGGGGAGACCCCGUGGGAAAGUAGGUCGUCGCCGGGG